AUUGAACGCUGGCGGCAUGCUUUACACAUGCAAGUCGAACGGUAACAGGCCGCAAGGUGCUGACGAGUGGCGAACGGGUGCGUAAUGCAUCGGAACGUGCCCAGUCGUUGGGGAUAACUACUCGAAAGAGUAGCUAAUACCUCAUACGAUCUAUGGUUGAAAGCGGGGGACCGCAAGGCCUCGCGCGAUUUUAGCGGCCGAUGUCAGAUUAGGUAGUUGGUGGGGUAAAGGCUCACCAAGCCAACGAUCUGUAGCUGGUCUGAGAGGACGACCCGCCACACUGGGACUGAGACACGGCCCAGACUCCUACGGGAGGCAGCAGUGGGGAAUUUUGGGCAAUGGGCGAAAGCCUGAUCCAGCAAUGCCGCGUGCAGGAAGAAGGCCUUCGGGUUGUAAACUGCUUUUGUAAGGAACGAAAAGGCGCUGGUUAAUACCCGGGGCUAAUGACGGUACCGUAAGAAUAAGCACCGGCUAACUACGUG
Molecule: ribosomal RNA, 482 nt
Filed under: uncultured bacterium
Lineage: Bacteria
Description: partial 16S ribosomal RNA
Rfam family: Bacterial small subunit ribosomal RNA
Source: RNAcentral